This 253-nucleotide ribosomal RNA is filed under the name uncultured bacterium. RNAcentral describes it as "partial 16S ribosomal RNA". It matches the Rfam family "Bacterial small subunit ribosomal RNA", at positions 524 to 776 of the family's 1533-position model. The record is from RNAcentral.
UACAGGGGGUGCGAGCGUUGUUCGGAAUUAUUGGGCGUAAAGCGCGUGUAGGCGGGCCAUUAAGUCUGGUGUGAAAACCCUCGGCUCAACCGAGGACGUGCAUUGGAUACUGGUGGCCUUGAGUCCUGGAGAGGGUAGCGGAAUUCCCAGUGUAGAGGUGAAAUUCGUAGAUAUUGGGAGGAACACCGGUGGCGAAGGCGGCUACCUGGACAGUGACUGACGCUGAGUCGCGAAAGCAUGGGUAGCAAACAGG